RNAcentral lists this ribosomal RNA (496 nucleotides) under uncultured bacterium. RNAcentral's name for it is "partial 16S ribosomal RNA". It matches the Rfam family "Bacterial small subunit ribosomal RNA", at positions 28 to 507 of the family's 1533-position model. The record is from RNAcentral.
GAUGAACGCUGGCGGCGUGCCUAAUACAUGCAAGUCGAGCGAACGGACGAGAAGCUUGCUUCUCUGAUGUUAGCGGCGGACGGGUGAGUAACACGUGGAUAACCUACCUAUAGACUGGGAUAACUUCGGGAAACCGGAGCUAAUACCGGAUGAUAUUUUGAACCGCAUGGUUCAAAAGUGAAAGACGGUCUUGCUGUCACUUAUAGAUGGAUCCGCGCUGCAUUAGCUAGUUGGUAAGGUAACGGCUUACCAAGGCAACGAUGCAUAGCCGACCUGAGAGGGUGAUCGGCCACACUGGAACUGAGACACGGUCCAGACUCCUACGGGAGGCAGCAGUAGGGAAUCUUCCGCAAUGGGCGAAAGCCUGACGGAGCAACGCCGCGUGAGUGAUGAAGGUCUUCGGAUCGUAAAACUCUGUUAUUAGGGAAGAACAUAUGUGUAAGUAACUGUGCACAUCUUGACGGUACCUAAUCAGAAAGCCACGGCUAACUACGUG